GCAAAAGGGUGUGAGGCACUGUGUGGGCCGCACACCAGCCCGUACACGCAUGGUUUUGCCCUUUUUAAACCCGUUUUGAAGCCUUUUCUUGUGCUUUCUUCUCCCUAACCCUCCCCUUCUCUUCUCCUUUCAUCCUUGGCCAUUCUUGGGCUUGUUUGUGGAGCUUAAAGAUUAAUCAAUUGUCUCUUCAAGGAGUUGAAAUUGUGGCUCAAAGUAAAGAGCUAGCCAAGGACUAGCGUUCAAGGAAGAGAAAUCGUCAAAGUUGUGAUAUAUACAGAUAUUUCAUUGCAUGACUUUGAAUGAUAGUUUAUUAGAAGAAUACCAAUAGUGAUAUAUACAGAUAUUUCAUUGCAUAAGUAAAGUUUUAUUGUUUUAUAAUUGAGUUGCAUGACUUUGAAUGAUAGUUUAUUUAUUGUUAAAAACUCUUGAAAAGUCUCCUUUGGUAUUUCAAAACUAUACUUGGAUCAUGAUUAAGUUUAUUCUCUAGGUUUGGAUAGGCAUCAAAUCGACCUUGAAAACUUUAUUAUUUAAUCAUAGCUUUUAAUGUGAAUGUUUGAUACUCUUGUUAUAAUAUCAAAAGUGUUUAUGUAAACUAUUUAUGCAACACAUUUCAUGUUAUUGCUGAUGUUAUGAUUGAAAUGUUUACUCAAGGAUUUCUUAUCCCAAUGAUGCUAGGUUAAUGAAAAGAUGUCAGUUUGGGAUGUUUUGGAUCUAACAUAAAAAUGGUUUUACAUUUCCUUUAAAUGAAGAGUUACAAAUGUUAAAAGUUCUUGAAAUGUUUUCUACAGUAUUUGGAAAUUAUGUUGAAUUGUGAUUUGGUUUAUUUCAAAGAACUUGAUAAAGAACUUUUUGCUUGUGAAAGUAACCAUAUGUUUUGGUUAUUAUGUUUCAAAGAGCAUGUUUUCAUGAAAUUUGAUAUUUUUGUUAUGAUGUUGAAGGAGUUGUGCAAAACUAAGUUGAAAUACAUUUUGAUGAUGCUAUACUUGAAGUGUAUUUUCAAGGAUUAUUCUCGAAUUGAUGUUUUCUUGAUGAAAAGGGUUUCAUCGAAGAUGUUAUGAUCAGCUAGCUCACUCUUUGAGUGAAAGUUAUAUAUGUGAAAUCUUGUGAUCUCUCGAUGAAAAUUAUUCUAUCAUGUUGAUGUACAUGUUGAGCCUACGGGCUGGAUUGUUAUUUAAAUAUUUUGAUGAUGACAUGGGAGCCGAGCUCCAGCACUUACUGCAGUAAGAAGUGGACGGUUUCCACGGGCCGACCUAGUUGAGGUGGCGUGGAAAACUAUCAAACCGGUUUUACCAUUUCAGGUGGGAGCUUAUAGCCCUGACUUGGAUAUAGUUGGGUUGUUCGGAGUCACCACACGGACUUCCCAAUGGCCAAUGCCAAGAUACGUGCAUCUUGGUGGCUCCUAACCUAACCGAGGCCAUGAAAUCAUGGAUGAUUUCAACCUUGGAUUUUGAACUUGUAUUUUGUGAAACUAUCGACAUUUGAUUUUCACAUCUUAAACUUUUGGAUUGUUGAGUUACUGAAAGGGUGUUUAACCUUGAAUUUUGAACUUGUAUGGAAUCAUGGAUGAUUUCAAAAGGUUUUAUUUUUGCAUUCCAUUGAGGAAGUUAAAUUUUCUUA
This is a long non-coding RNA of Dioscorea cayenensis subsp. rotundata (Guinea yam), 1617 nucleotides long. RefSeq lists it as uncharacterized. The record is from RefSeq and is a predicted model, not a curated record. NCBI's taxonomy places the organism in Eukaryota, Viridiplantae, Streptophyta, Magnoliopsida, Dioscoreales, Dioscoreaceae. The transcript is spliced from 2 exons.